Molecule: long non-coding RNA, 1827 nt
Organism: Engraulis encrasicolus (European anchovy)
Lineage: Eukaryota; Metazoa; Chordata; Actinopteri; Clupeiformes; Engraulidae
Exons: 3
Source: RefSeq, a predicted model, not a curated record
AAAUAUUUUAAUUAACUUUAAUUUCACGCUGUCUUAAGUGGCUGUAGUCACGUUAUUUACCAAUAUUUUUAAAUGGUGACAAUAUUCCCCAGUCUAAAAAGUGGUGACGAUGUACCUGACUUGCUUGCCAUAGACAACAAGAAGUGGUGUUUCAUGCAUGGUGUGGAGUUGCUUGAGGAUGCAAAAUCAUUGGUAAUCCAACAACAUGCGUCAGUCAACAUCUAUGCAGUGACAUAGGCUAUUUGAUAUGGCAGAUUUUAUUUGGUUGAGGCUACUCUACUCUCCUUGACCCCUGGUCUCAACUUAGGUUUUACAGGAAGUCAGUCAAUGUCAUUGUGAUGUUAGCCCUCAUCUUAUCUUGUAAUUUAUGUGACAUCAACUCCAGCACUCUAAUUAUGUGUUUUGUCAUAGGUGCAAAAGGCUUGUCUAAGAUAAGCUGGCAGUCUACACCGCAUGGCCUGCGUUGCUGACAUUGAGUGAAGUUAAUGCAGAGUUCCUGUGCCUGACAGAUACUUGAGGAAGCAUCUUGGAGGUUCUCAAGGAGAAGGGAGGUGUUGCCAGAAGGAAGGACUAGAGUGGCGAAGUGAUCCAAAGGCAGACUGCACAUCUACGUGUAUGGUUUGCAAGGAACAUCCCGUGCCAGAGACUGUGAUACAAGGCAUGGAGCUGUACAGUGAACUCGGAGCAUCUCUUGUGCAUGUGUGAUGCUCUUUGGACUCGGUUACCGGUAUAUACCCUCAAUCUCAACUCUGUGGAUUUGGAUUUACAAUUUUAAGUAUCCAGAUGAACUGAAAUAUAUGUUCUGGUGAAUUUGGAAAAUAUGCCCAAAAGGUUCAAUCACUAUAAACUACAGUAAAUAUGUUGGACACUGGCAAUCUCAGGUUCUAAGACAUUGUAUAAAAGGACAAUCCAUCACAUUUCUAUGCAUACUUUUAUGUGCUGUUCUCUGAUCUGAGUUGAUGAUUUUUUUUGUCCUUAUCUUAGCUCAGCAUGGCAUUGAGUAUCAUUGAGGGGUUUUUUUUCUAAGCAUUUUCUAUGCAGAUUAAAAGAUGAGCACUAUAAUGAAAGGCGUAAUAAGGCCUCAGUAGCACUUCAUGGGCACAUUGAUAUCAUAAUUAAAAACAUUUCUCUCUCCCUCUCCUCCACCACUUUGGGAAAGAAUCAAAGAGCCAAAAGUGAUCCUGCGGGCAGUUGGUCAAUUCUAAAAUGUCCAUUCACAAAUAACAUCUUUUUCAUGAAUGUCUAAGUAAAUAAGUGAGUAAAUAGACACAUACUGUUCUGUUGAGAGUAUGUUUUUCGGCCAAAGAUAUCUGACUGCAUUCAAAAUGGUGGAUUAACAUGCAGAGGACCCCACUAUUAUUAAUUUGCCCAAGCGAUUAUGACAUUACUUAGAAUUUGCUGGUGGUUGUAAGCAUUCAUGAAAAAGAUGACAUUUCUGAACAGGCCACAUAAAUGAAUGUGGUACAGUACACUGAUAAUUUCAGGUUUUCUGUUUAAUUUCUGUUUAAUCAUACGAUUAUAUUGUCUAGAUUUUGGUGCUUUAUUAUCGUUUGACUGCAUGUUUGUCCAGCUGAUGAAAUAUUAAUAAAAGAAAUGUUUUGAAGUUCUUGUCAAGUAUAUUUUUCUCAUACACCUAAACAAGAUAUUAAUUCUACAUGAGAAAAUAAGUAUUCUAGCUAAGAAAAUCAGACUAGUUUUAAGACUUUAAAUGAGCUGGAAACAAGUAAAUUUGCCUUGUUUUAAGCGUAUUGUAUGCUUGUUUUGAGCAAUAAUUUCUUGGAUGACAUCUAAUUCUAAGCAAUAAUGACUAAUAAAGGAGACGAAAUU